CAGGGACACACCCCACUUCUUACCGGCAAGUCACGAGCAGAGCGAAAAGCCAACUCAACAAAAGAUCAUGGGAUCGUGUCAAGUGGUGAUCGAGUACUGCGGCGGAUGAGGGUACGAGCCCCGGUACCGGAAGCUACAGGAACUGAUCCAGUCCAAUGUACCCGGUGCCGAGGUUCAAGGAUUCAUCGGCAGAACCAGCUCCUUCGAGGUGAGAAUCAACGAGCGGCUAGUCUACUCCAAGCUGCAGGAAAAGUCGCUCCCCAACUUCGAGGAGGUAGUUGCUGUGGUGAAGGACGUGUCGGACGGCCGGCCGAUCCGGCAGGUGGGGGAGAGGCAGUCUUCCGCGUGCGACAUCGUGUAAGGCAGCCGCGGUCCCCGCACCAUCCGUCCAAUCGGCCCACGCGGUCGGCCGCCCCCUGACUACGUCCAGAGGGAACGAUUACGCAUCCGCCCGUCACGCCAUCCGGACACAUCUCGGCUUCAGCAGCGGGCUGCAGUACUGCUUCGCUGUUUGCAUUAUGCCACGUUGGGCACCCGCGGAGUUAACUAGCCCGCAAAUGAUGUUUGGCAGGCCUUGUCUCAUUAGCGUCACGUGGCAAGAGGAAUUUUCACUACUAUCACUGCUGGAGGUGCGCACCUGCUCGCAAUUUCGUCCGAGUUGAGCUAGAGAUACGAAGCAAAAAGUUAAUGACAGCCUGGUGUGUAAGAAGUUGGGCAAUGUUUUUUUCGCCUUCUGGAGGCGAUCAAUGACCCUCCAGGCUACGUCCACCACUUGAAAAAACUGUGCCACCUCGAAGCAUAAAACGACCUGUUUAGAGACAAUCAGAUGCACGGUCGCGUUUUAGGGCUCAGUGCAAACAAGUGACUUAUAACUGGUGUAAGUGUGUACUAGAUCGUCGUAGGCUGUUAACCUAGCUCACUCUUGAAAAGGUCAUUUAUUAUUGAAAUGUAACCUUAUGUCUGCAGAUCGUCAUCCGAUAGUUUUUUAUGGCCAGAAAUGCCAUUUUUACCAUUGAACAGCAAAAGCUAACGUAUGUUGGUAAAAUUUGUUCUGUUAAUCUUAAGAGAUGACGUGCCGGCCAUGUGGCCUGAUGUGACCUCGCAUUUCAUUUGUUUUAAAUGGCGUACGCAAUCGACAACGCCAAAUUUUACGCCGCUGCCAUUGGUCGUUUUCCCUGCCCGGAAUUAUGCUGAUUAUGGAAAUAUUUCGUCUAGCGAGGAUCAAAAUACCCCUGUUCUACCCAAAGCGAGGGGCACGCGAUAUGGGGACAUUGUAUCGUUAAUUUAGCUUCAUGGCUGGGUUCCUUUGAAAUUCGUUGCAACUGUGUCACGCAUUUCUGUGCUCCAAAAGUGUAAUUGACCGACAUUCUACGACGCUCCUUUAUCCAGAGGGCAUGGUUUACCGUCUUAGCUGUGAGCCAAAGACAGAGCUGACUACCCGUGAUGGGUUAAGAACCAAUUUGGAUGAAAGAAGUGUGACAUACGCUUGACUGGUGGUUCUCAGACUGCAAAAUGCGUAAAAGGAAUUUAGUAAUUGUUGGGAACUGGCAGAUGGUCUUUCGUUUUAAUUUGAAUCGCGACUACCUUGCCACUUGAGAGACGCUUUUUGGGUGCAUGCUUUGGCACGUUGAAAAAUGUUUUGAUUAAUCGCCUGCUCAGAUUUUCUCAACGCACGGAAAAGGGCCCAAUCGCUCCACCCGUGAAUCCCAUUGUCUAUAAUAAGUCAUCAAGUUUCCAUUGCUUUGUGGCCUCGAAUGCUUUAAAGAUCAUAGGGGUACUUAUCACCCAGUUCUUUGCGUAACAACAGGACCGUUACACUAGUAAUAAACUGAGCGUAUACGUCUACCAAGUGUCAUGGCUCUCAACUAUGAGCUCGAUUUUCUCCACUAUUUUGUAUCGCCAGCUUUACUGCAGAUGUAACGAAACUGAAGCUUCUUGGCUUGUGAGAAUACCGUCGAUAUGCUUAUUAAAGAUACCGGUGUGCUGAAAAUGGACCGAAAGUCAAAUUCACAGUGGGCUGAUUUUUCUGGCGGAUUUUCUUUUCCAGCAGCCUCCCUCCAUAUGUUGCAAUGGUAUUUCGAACUGUAUGACUUCACAUGUCUUUUGUCCACAGCAGUUGUCCAUAGCGUUAAAAUGGAAGGCAACGUACGGAAGUGGCAGCGUGUAGGUUUUAUGAUUUAGCGGGCUGAAACAACUUGCGUUUGCAACGUUGUAAACUAAAGUUAUCUUGGACGUCUAGCAAAGACGGUUUUUGGUUAAGUUCCAUAUAUUCUCCCAUCACCACGGGGGAGUACUUUUACACUGGUUGUACAGAAAAAUGCAAUAAGAAUACUUUUAUUGUCGCUACCCAUAUUAUGUGCUUCAUGGUACCAUUUAGGCUUAUAAUGUCAUGCUACUUACGUGUGCGAUCUUCGUUGUUUUGCAUACCUGCUAUUUAAUUAUGAUGCAUUGCUUUUACGUCAGCAUUACAUAACAUUGCAGUUAUGUAUUACGAUAUGCUUAUCCAUAGAUAUUUACAUUAUGCUACUGCUAUUGAUCCUUGAACACUCACCGACACUACGUGUCCGCGGACGGUCGUGUGCACCACGGUGUCCUAUGUUCUGGGUGGGACGCCGAUGUCUGAUGCCCGCUGUUGACGUCCGUUGGAAAAGCCGAGUGUGGGCUGCCAUGUCUGUCGAGGCUAUGUUACGCUACAUGAACUUAUGUUGACGCACAUGCAUUGGGGUCGUGCCUCUGUAGGAGAUUGGACAGGAUGUCAGGGAUGGGCCACGUAGGCUAAUGUUGACGCACAUGCAUUGGGGUCGUGCUUCCGUAGGAGAUCUGACAGAGAUGCCACGCCGAUGGCUGACUUGUGUCCAGCUUAAGGUUGCUCUUUCGGGACUUCGCCUCCCGCCUGGUAUUAAUCGGUACAUUUGACCUGGUAUUAUGUCGCUAACUGAUUAGCACUCACCUCAUGCCGUCUUCAAGUAAAUAAUGUAAGAUUCAGUGGGCAAAGCCGGGAAAUGAGGCCGGAGAAGCAACGAAGAAUUACAACCUUGUCAGAAGGCCUUUAUCGGGACUGAUUAUAGGGUGUGUUACAUAUUUUGGGUGCUCGGAGGCCCAGGGUACAGAUGACAUGCCGUCCAAACCCACAGCAAGAAACACCAGUCCGCACUGCUCAGCAUAGUCAUACGUAGCCACCGUGUAGUGCUCGGGCGCGGUAUUUCCCCGCUGCCCAGUGAAGUGUAUUCCCAUGUCCCGCGUAGCGUGGUGCCCCGGUGCUGUGUCCGUCCGUAGCUGAGCACUGCGAUCGCCUGGCAAAUGGACCGGCCUCGUCUCGGGCGGCGUGUCACGUGACCGGCGCCAGGUCGCUGUAUGACCGGCGGGCCUGAAACUAACCGGGGACCGCCGCGAGAUCACGCGACAGGCCCCGGUCACGUGAUGUCCCACCUGUGAUUGCUGGUAUCUACAGAGACUGCUGUUUAAAUUGUGUCCUUGAAUCGUGCAAUCUGUACUUCGCUC
Molecule: long non-coding RNA, 3501 nt
Filed under: Pollicipes pollicipes
Lineage: Eukaryota; Metazoa; Arthropoda; Thecostraca; Pollicipedomorpha; Pollicipedidae
Description: uncharacterized LOC119090445
Source: RNAcentral